AUUGAACGCUGGCGGCAGGCCUAACACAUGCAAGUCGAACGGUAACAGGAAGCAGCUUGCUGCUUUGCUGACGAGUGGCGGACGGGUGAGUAAUGUCUGGGAAACUGCCUGAUGGAGGGGGAUAACUACUGGAAACGGUAGCUAAUACCGCAUAACGUCGCAAGACCAAAGAGGGGGACCUUCGGGCCUCUUGCCAUCGGAUGUGCCCAGAUGGGAUUAGCUAGUAGGUGGGGUAACGGCUCACCUAGGCGACGAUCCCUAGCUGGUCUGAGAGGAUGACCAGCCACAAUGGAACUGAGACACGGUCCAGACUCAUACGGGAGGCACCAGUGGGGAAUAUUGCACAAUGGGCGCAAGCCUGAUGCAGCCAUGCCGCGUGUAUGAAGAAGGCCUUCGGGUUGUAAAAUACUUUCAGCGGGGAGGAAGGGAGUAAAGUUAAUACCUUUACUCAUUGACGUUACCCACAGAAGAAGCACCGGCUAACUCCGUG
This 490-nucleotide ribosomal RNA is filed under the name uncultured bacterium. RNAcentral's name for it is "partial 16S ribosomal RNA". It matches the Rfam family "Bacterial small subunit ribosomal RNA", at positions 30 to 507 of the family's 1533-position model. The record is from RNAcentral.